Molecule: ribosomal RNA, 858 nt
Filed under: uncultured euryarchaeote
Lineage: Archaea; Methanobacteriati; Methanobacteriota
Description: bacterial SSU rRNA
Rfam family: Archaeal small subunit ribosomal RNA
Source: RNAcentral
UUCCGGUUGAUCCUGCCGGAGGCGACCGCUUUGGGAGUUCGAUUAAGCCAUGCGAGUCGUGAGUCUUAGGGACUCGGCAUACUGCUCAGUAACACGUGGAUAACCUGCCCUAUCGUCUGGAAUAACCUCGGGAAACUGAGAAUAAGGCCGGAUAGUUCACAAUGCCUGGAACGGUUUGUGAAUCAAGGUAGGAUGGGUCUGCGGCGUAUCAGGUUGUAGGGGGUGUAAAGGACCCCCCAGCCUUCGACGCGUACGGGUGUUGGGAGACAUAGCCCGGAGAUGGAUUCUGAGACACGAAUCCAGACCCUACGGGGUGCAGCAGGCGCGAAAACUUCACACUGCAGGAAGCUGUGAUGAGGGAACUCCUAGUGCAUGCACUAUGUGUAUGUAGAUCCUACUCUUAACAAGUAGAGGGAAAGGGCUGGGAAAGACCGGUGCCAGCCGCCGCGGUAAUACCGGCAGCUCAAGUGGUCGUCGCUUUUAUUGGGCCUAAAACGUCCGUAGCCUGUUUGGUAAAUCUGUGGGUAAAUCAAUCCGCUCAACGGAUUGAAUUCUGCAGAGACUGCCAGACUAGGGACCGGGAGAGGUGUGGGGUACUCGAGGGGUAGGGGUAAAAUCCUGUCAUCCUUCGAGGACCACCAGUUGCGAAGGCGCCACACUGGAACGGAUCCGACGGUCAGGGACGAAGCCUAGGGGCACGAACCGGAUUAGAUACCCGGGUAGUCCUAGGUGUAAACGCUGUGAACUUGGUGUCGGGGGUCCGCAAGGGGCCCCCGGUGCCGGAGUGAAGAUGUUAAGUUCACUGCCUGGGGAGUACGGUCGCAAGGCUGAAACUUAAAGGAAUUGGCGGGGCAGCAC